This 3691-nucleotide long non-coding RNA is filed under the name Pelobates cultripes (western spadefoot toad). Lineage: Eukaryota; Metazoa; Chordata; Amphibia; Anura; Pelobatidae. The record is from RNAcentral.
UCUUAAUUUCACCCAGUCUAAACGUAGCAAGGUGAAGUUAAGUUGUCUUGUAUUAAUUGUUUAAACUCAUAGGUUAAACGUAGCACUUGAGUAAGAUGUAUUGUGUUAAAAUUGUAUAACUGUGUGUAUAUGGUUUAAAGUUUGAUAAACUGUAACAUCAUUUGAGAAGAGAUUUUUGUGUAAACUCCAGUUGUCAGUCAGUAUACAGACUGAAAAUUGUGACCUUUCGAUCUCUCAAAAGGUGAUAUAGUGGUGUGUAAAAGUACAAGUAACAGAAAUGAGGUUGAAUCAUGGCAAGCAGCUUGAUCAUGGGGAUAGUAUACCCAGUGAUUCCCCAGUUUAUUUAAUGAAACAGAAAUAUGGCCCUUCAAAUAUUAUGUAUUCAAAGAAAUGGGCAAAGUUAACUAAGAAUAAUAUAAAUCCAUGGCCAGUGGUGGGGUCAUUAGACCCUUGGGUGUUGUUAAGUUUAAGAACAAUGUUGUUAAAUGGAAAAAGUCUUUCAAAACUGGAAUGGUCUGCAUAUAUGUUAUGGCAUGAGGAAAUUGAAAAGAAAAAGCAAGAAUGUUCCCCCCAGUCAGGUGCAACAGGAGGGGCACGUAAAGGAGAGGGUACUGGUGUUGCCUGUUUGUAUCCCUCACUGUACAAUUUAAAAAGAAAUGUUAAAAAUCCUCCGCCUUAUAAUGAUGAUGAGGAUUUUUUGAUUAAUCAUGAGAUUAUGAAUCCCUCUUUGGGUCACUUCCCCUCAGCAGAUGAAUGAUGCACCACAGCUUGUACCCCAAAAUUUAGCUGGUGCCUCAGCCAUGUUGCAUUGAGGUGGUAGACCUGAGAGGGAUAUUAGACUGCCUAAAAGAUUUGCUGAUCAUGCUGUGGUAACUACAGGUUUAUCAGGAUGUAGCAAUGUGUUGCCUGAGAGUGAUGGGAGUGAGGCUAUGAUUUUACCUAUUAGAGAAGUGGGACAGAUGGAUAAUGAUGGGAGACCACGGAGGAUUUGUCAACCGUGGAGCCCACAAGACAUAGCAUUUUUACAGGUAUCAUUUCCUGCCCCCUCUAGAUCCAAAUGGGUUUGUAAAACAUUUAAAAAUAAUGUGUGCCAGCUAUUUCCCCACAACAUAAGAUCUUAAUGAGUUAAUGGAGACAGUAUUAACCCCUGCAGAACAUACUAAAUGGGUGGCAGGAUAUAACGAGUCACCUUUCUCAUGGCCUGCAGGAGUGGGGGUACAAGCAGUUGCACACAUAUGGGAAAAUUGCCCUGAUGAGAGGAGUGAUGUUGUCCUUAAGAAUUGGUAUGCAUUCCUCAGCAUCAAAUUAAAAACAGUUUUUACCCAGCCUAUUGACUAUACAUAGCAUAGUGCAAAAGAAAGGAGAAAACCCCUAUGAAUAUGCGGAAGCAAUUAAGGUUUUUGGAAGUUUUGAAGAUAUCACGAAUUAAUCAAUUAAGCCGUUCAUAGUGAAUACCUUAGUAAAUGGUUUGGAUGCUAAAGUAAAAAAAACAAUUGAUGUUAUCCUUACUGGGAUGGCGGGAUAAAUCACUUAAUAUUGUAUUAAGUGCAGCAUCGGAAAUUUGACAGGCUAUUCAAAUCAAGGAAAAUGCAAAAGCUGAGCACCUUAUGCUACAAGCUGAACAAAUGCCUGUUAGAUAUUAUGCACAUCAGCCAAGACAAAACAUAGCCAGAAGACCCCCACAGAAUAAUGUAAGAACAUUUAUCAAAUGUUUCAAUUGUGAUGGAUAUGGUCAUAUAGCAACAGAUUGCAAGGAGGUAAAGGGGGCAAGAAAGCAAUUAGAAGAAAAAGACGGACUAGAUGUAGAAGAAGAUUGGGGUCUGAAUAUGUAUUGUUAGUGUACCUGUGACCCAAGGUCCAGAACCUAUGGUACAUUUGAAAGUAAAUUAAUUGUAUGUGAUACUGAGGGAAGAAGAAGUAAGUGAUUUUGGUGGGGAGAGUGUAUAUUUAGUGGAAGACCAGCAUUGCCAUCAUUGUUGUUUAAUUCUGAAUGGUCAAGGCUGGGCCUAGAAUCUGUAUUGGUACUGGUGUGUUCUUCAUGUGUUAUUUGUUUACAAUACAAUGCAGGUCAGAGACCUAAGAUUAAGCAGCUAAAUCAUCCUCCCUGUUCAUGAGGUCCAUUUGUAAAUUUACAAAUGGAUUUCAUUGAAUUACCAAAGGUAAUGCAGUAUUGGUAUGUGCUAGUAAUAUUAGAUACAUUCUCAGGUUUGGUUGAGGCUUAUCCUUGUUGCCAUGCGGAUAUGUCUACAAUGUUUAAGAAAUUGUUACAAGAAUUUAUACCCAGGUAUGGAUUGCCUCGGCACAUUUACUCAGAUCAGGGAACACAUUUCACAGGAAAAGUAGUGCAACAGAUAGCAAAAAUUUAGCAAAUCCCUUACCAUUUACAUUGCUCUCAUCAUCCUCAGUCAGAAGGAGCAGUAGAAAGGGCCAAUGGAACAUUGAAAAACAAAAUUGCAAAAAUUGCAGCAGAGAAAGUUAAAGUGGCUUAAUGCACUUCCUCUUGCCUUAAUGUCUAUGAGAUUCUCUCUAGUUUGAAAGCAGGGUUAUCCCCUCAUGAAAUUCUAAUGGGAAGACCAAUGUUCACAGGAGGGGUACCUAUAAAAUGUUAUUCUCAUGAGAUAAAUGAUGAUUUAGUAAUGACAUAUUGCAUGUAGCUAACAAAACGAUUAGUCUCUCUAUAUGCAGGUAAAAGCUGUACAGCGAACAAGUGAAUACCAACCUUUGCAUGCCAUCGCUCCUGGAGAUUAUGUUAUGAUAAAAGACCAUUCACGAAAGCACGCGUUGCAACCAAGGUGGAAAGGACCUUGUCAAGUGUUAUUAACCACUAAUUCAGCUGUUAAAGUCGCAGGGGUUAAAUCUUGGAUCCACAUUUCCCAUUGUAAACUGACAAGCGCUGAAAAAGAUUUUUCACUGGAAGAAGAAUAGAGGACUAAGGAAGCCGUUUUCCCUNNNNNNNNNNNNNNNNNNNNNNNNNNNNNNNNNNNNNNNNNNNNNNNNNNNNNNNNNNNNNNNNNNNNNNNNNNNNNNNNNNNNNNNNNNNNNNNNNNNNUCCCUGUCAUGUGAUUGUGGCUAAAUGUUGAGGUUAGCCACAUGAAUCUAAUCUCCCAAGUCUAAACGUAGGAAAGUGAGAUUGGAUUAUUUUGUUUUAGUGUCUUAAUUUCACCCAGUCUAAACGUAGCAAGGUGAAGUUAAGUUGUCUUGUAUUAAUUGGCUAGCCACAUGAAUCUAAUCUCCCAAAUCUAAACGUAGGAAAGUGAGAUUAGAUUAUUUUGUUUCAUUGUCUUAAUUUCACCCAGUCUAAACGUAGCAAGGUGAAGUUAAGUUGUCUUGUAUUAAUUGUUUAAACUCAUAGGUUAAACGUAGCACUUGAGUAAGAUGUAUUGUGUUAAAAUUGUAUAACUGUGUGUAUAUGGUUUAAAGUUUGAUAAACUGUAACAUCAUUUGAGAAGAGAUUUUUGUGUAAACUCCAGUUGUCAGUCAGUAUACAGACUGAAAAUUGUGACCUUUCGAUCUCUCAAAAGGUGAUAUAGUGGUGUGUAAAAGUACAAGUAACAGAAAUGAGGUUGAAUCAUGGCAAGCAGCUUGAUCAUGGGGAUAGUAUACCCAGUGAUUCCCCAGUUUUUUUAAUGAAACAGAAAUAUGGCCCUUCAAAUAUUAUGUAUUCAAAGAAAUGGGCAAAGUUAACUAAGAA